GUCUGUCACAAAGUGCUUUUUUGAAUCUCUUUUAAAGAUUGGUGCCAAUUAUUUUUAAAUACUGUUGAUGUGAAUUAAUUACCCUUAUGCACUGUUCAACAUCAGAAAUGAUCUGAUUUAAGGAGCCCUUCGGCCUCAGUUGUGAAAGCUGUUUUUCCUUUCAACAUGUGCAAGGGUCUUGAACAAUGCACCUAUGACUCCCUGGUCAUAUCACCGGCGGCACAAACAUACAUCACAGAGGAAAUUAAGGCCAGCAGAAAAAUAUCAGCCCUCUCUGGCCCUGGUGGACCGGUGUAAUAACUGCAGAGCGGAUGUUUGAAGAGGCUUAUCUCUCUGUGUUGAUGCAUGUCAGCUUCAACUGUUCACAAAAAUGAUGAAGAGGGGUUUCAAAAAAAAGUCCUUGAUUUCAUGUCAACAUCGUCCUGUGAGGAUGCAAAGAACAGGAGACAAAUCUCUCUUGUAUGAACGUGUAAACAAGCACUGCUGUUUGGUUGAAGCCACCACGGUCCAAACACUUGAAUCAUGGAGGAGAUCAUUUCUGUUGUUUUUGUGUUUGCUGUUGAACGAGAGCGACUCUGAAGAUUCUUAGUCUCGUUAGGUCGUGUAAAAGCAGGAAAGAGGUUCUCAAUGUCGUUAGAAACAUCACUCCGUUCAGUCCUAGUUUCAUUUUGGCUCAUUGUGUUGCGAAGAAUGAAUGAAAUCAAAGAUGGAGGAUGGGUUUCCCGCCGUGAUUUAACCCUUUUGUUGGAGGAGUUUGCCCUCCUCUUCUCCAUUAGCAGCAUUUAAACACAAAUUUCCUCUUUGAUGCUGAAUGUGUCCUCAAUUAAAUUGAAGGGUGAUGAUGAACUGAA
Molecule: long non-coding RNA, 851 nt
Organism: Notolabrus celidotus (New Zealand spotty)
Lineage: Eukaryota; Metazoa; Chordata; Actinopteri; Labriformes; Labridae
Exons: 3
Source: RefSeq, a predicted model, not a curated record